Molecule: long non-coding RNA, 3464 nt
Filed under: Nicotiana tabacum (common tobacco)
Lineage: Eukaryota; Viridiplantae; Streptophyta; Magnoliopsida; Solanales; Solanaceae
Description: long non-coding RNA (NTAB_LNC011307)
Source: RNAcentral
UUUCUUUGUUUAACAGAAGUCUUUGCUUCAUUCUUUGUUUAACAGAGGCUUUCUGGCUUUUAAUUUUUUAAAGACAAACUUUUUCUCCCAAUUCCCAAAUAUAAAAAAAAAAACUAGGGUUCUGCUGGGUUUUCUUCCAAUUCCCAAAUCAAAGAAAAGGCUAGGGUUCUGUUGCUUCCUCUGCUAGGGUUCGUCGGUUUAUCUCAUGAGGUAAAGUUUGCUUGUCACCAACCCUACCUAUCUUGACAAAAGUUCUGAGUUUCAUUAGUUUUAUUUUGGAACCAGUAAAGAAAGAAUCUUAGAGUCCUAAAUUUUGCUUUUUCCUCUAUUAAUUUGUGAAGUAAAUUGUCAUAACUAAUAAUCAAAUCAAUAAGACAAGUAGACAAAUAAGCACGGUUUUAAUUAUUGAAACAGACAAUGAAGAUGUUUGCUUGAAUCUAGAAAUUUGGUGUUGAUUGAUGCAACUUGACACAAGUUUGAUGUCGUCUCAUACUUUUGUAAUUAAAAUAAAGUACAUGAUGAUUUACUCUUUUACUUCAAGUAAAUUUCUAUUUUGUGAUUUUUAGGUUUUUCUAGCAAAAGUCGAUAUGAUCACGAGUUUUUACCAAGCUCAAGCUACUGCAACUUCUUCUAGCUCUCCUUUGACAAGUUCUCCAUGUCCAGUUAUUAAUAACAAUAUUAAUCUUUCCCAAGCAUCGGAUAAAGUGUGCUAUUAUGAGCCCGAUCCUGCUAAAAGAAAACCAAUUUCAAAAUAUUCUCCUAAUUUACGUGACCGUAUAAGGAGAAAUUAUAUACAAAAUGGAGCUUGUCAACCCCGUGGUUUUGUCUUUCCAAAAAGAGAUUUUGGGGGAAUAAUGCAUCACUUUAGUCCUCAAUGGUUAAAACUUCAUGUUCUCAAUGGUUAGAAUAUAGCAUUAAACAAGAUGCAGCAUUUUGUUUAUGUUGUUACUUGUUUAAAAAUGAGGUUGGAGGAUAUGGAAAAAAAGUAGGUGAUGCUUUCACAACAGAUGGUUUUAGAGGUUGAAAUAAAGCUUUAGAAAGAUUUAAUUCACAUGUGGGUAACGUGGGUAGUGUUCAUAAUCGAUGUUUCAAUAUGAUGCUAGAUUUAAUGAACCAAGAACAAUCCAUUCUAACUUCUUCGGACAAACAAUCUGAGAAAAUUAAAAGUGAUCAUCGAGUUCGUUUGAAUGCUUCAAUUGAUGUGAUAAGGUAUCUUUUGAAAGAAGGAAUUCCUUUUCAGGGCCAUGAUUAGAGUGUAACUUCUACUAGGAGAGGCCAUUUUUAGAUCUCUUAAAAUGGUAUGCAGAUAGGAAGGAAGAUGUGAAAAAUGUGGUAUUAGAAAAAGCUCCAAAAAAUAAUACCAUGACUUCUCCUGAUAUUCAGAAAGAUAUUGUGAAUUCUUGUGCAAAACAAACGGUGAAAGCAAUUAUUGAAGACUUGAAUGGGGAUUUUUUUGGGAUAUUAGUUGAUGAGUCUAAGGAUGUCUCUCAUAAGGAACAAAUGGCUCUUGUUCUGCGCUAUGUCAAUAAAGAGGGUGAACUUAUUGAGUGCAAUUGAAAUGAUGCGAUCAUUGAUCGUUGAUCGUUUUCAAAACAUGACAACUCGUCGAGUGCAAUUGAAAUGAUAAUGUUUAUAUUCAUAUAUUGUGUUGUCUUUAGUUACUUUUUAACUAUAUAUUAAAUAUCGAUACUUAUUCUUUAGUCGGUUUGAUAUUGUAUAUCAGUUUUAGGUUAUAGUCUUAUUCUAAAUUUUAGAACCCACACACUCCAAAUCCUAGCUCCGCCUCUGUCUAUGAUGCUUAGAUUCUUCCAAACUUUGUGUUAUUAAGAAGUUUGCUUUCAUAAUCCUUUUCUCUAUCGAUUCCUUUAUUGCUCUAGCUAGGAGUUCUCUCUUCAACAGCUAGCUAGUCGAUUCAACCUAUUCAGACAACUUACCUGUUAAAAGGGCAACUUGCUGUAUAAAACAUUCUGUGCUCGCACAGGGCCUGGGAAAGACUGCACCACAAGGACUAUAAUAUAGACAGUCUACCUUGAUAUAAGUACCAACGGCUAAUUCUACGGCUUGAACCCGUGACCUAUACACAUACAGCUCUAUUUUUAAAAGUUGAGAAAAAGAAAGCAAGGCCUAUUAUUAAUAAAUGUAUCAUUAACUUUGUCAAUGUUGUUUCUUAUAGCGCAAGGCAGCAAAUUACAUUGCAAACGUAGUUGCAAUGGCACUGAUACAAUUUAGCAACCGUUACACGGCCCAUAAAGUUAAGAAACUAAGUUUUCCUGACUUUAUGUGUUGCUCUAGAAUCUACAAGUAUCUUUUCAAUUCAAGAAAUGCUAAAGUUAAUAACUCUAACUAGGACGGAAGGAGGGUUUUGGAUAAAAAAUAACUUAAAAGUACUUUGUGACUUCAGUAGUGGAUUUCGAAAGUAAAGACUUUGUUUACUUCCUAAAAAUUGUUUACGUAAAAACUAGUAGAAAUAAUGGAAUCUUGAAUGGAAAAAGAAACCGUGUUAGAGAGAAGAAAGAGACCUCUCUAUUACAAGAAUCAUAGCCGGCCAAGAGAAUGAAAAUAUUGGUGGAAGAUCUGUAUUUCGAUCUGCCUUGGGUGCGGCGACGAAAAAAGUCUAGUUCAUCCGCUUCAAUUAAGCACAUCUUAUGAAAUAUACAGGCCGGGUUGAUCUAAGGUCAAACAUCCUAAUCGAAUACGAGUAAUCUCCUAGAUUAAUUUUCCUUUUGUUUCGGAUGGUUAUUGAUCAUAAAUUAAGAGCAGUUAUAUUAAGAACAUGUCAUAUUGAUGACAAAGAAAACAUUGGAGAAGAAGUACGCUUAAACACUCUCCAAGACAACAAAACCAUCAUAUUGUGGGGAGGGUAAAAAGAGUAUCCAAUGCAAAAUGGUUUUUCAUUCACUUUUUUCGUCGCCCCCCACCCCCCACCACCCCACCCCCACAAACCCCCGCCCUCUCCCCAAGCACCCCAUGCUCAGAGGGAGUAUUAGUAGUCAAGAAUAUACGCUUAGUAUUUUUUAUAUGAAAACUACGCAGAUACUCGCCAAUAGAAGGCGAGACUUUAAAACCAAAAAGACGAGAUUUCAAUAAAUAUGACAUAUAGAUAUCAAAGUGAAACCAGAGUUACAUUUUCAAUUGAAGAGAAAAACAUAACAGUUGUCCUUAUUACUCAUCUCAAUAUAUAUAUUGGCAAAUAAUUGAAAUUGAGUUGAUACUCGUAAUAACUUCGUAUAGCAUACAUUAUACGAAGUUAUACUGUGAUUUCUCCUAUCUUAUCAUUUUCAUCAAACAUGGCAAACAAAUAAGUUUCUAUAGUCUUUCCAGGUUUCUUUGGAGUUCCUGCCCCGCUUUUCACAUGAUUAAUCAAAUUUCUGUAAUAAGUUUGAGCGUUUUCAAUAGUUGCUGCAGAGCUUCCUUCAGAAGGCCAUCCACUUUCAGAUACAAUAAUCUCCACAUUUGGUCCUCCA